This 1343-nucleotide ribosomal RNA is filed under the name uncultured bacterium. RNAcentral's name for it is "16S ribosomal RNA". It matches the Rfam family "Bacterial small subunit ribosomal RNA", at positions 28 to 1378 of the family's 1533-position model. The record is from RNAcentral.
GACGAACGCUGGCGGCGUGCUUAACACAUGCAAGUCGAACGGAAAGGCCCUGCUUUUGUGGGGUGCUCGAGUGGCGAACGGGUGAGUAACACGUGAGUAACCUGCCCUUGACUUUGGGAUAACUUCAGGAAACUGGGGCUAAUACCGGAUAGGAGCUCCUGCUGCAUGGUGGGGGUUGGAAAGUUUCGGCGGUUGGGGAUGGACUCGCGGCUUAUCAGCUUGUUGGUGGGGUAGUGGCUUACCAAGGCUUUGACGGGUAGCCGGCCUGAGAGGGUGACCGGCCACAUUGGGACUGAGAUACGGCCCAGACUCCUACGGGAGGCAGCAGUGGGGAAUAUUGCACAAUGGGCGGAAGCCUGAUGCAGCAACGCCGCGUGCGGGGUGACGGCCUUCGGGUUGUAAACCGCUUUCGCCUGUGACGAAGCGUGAGUGACGGUAAUGGGUAAAGAAGCACCGGCUAACUACGUGCCAGCAGCCGCGGUGAUACGUAGGGUGCGAGCGUUGUCCGGAUUUAUUGGGCGUAAAGGGCUCGUAGGUGGUUGAUCGCGUCGGAAGUGUAAUCUUGGGGCUUAACCCUGAGCGUGCUUUCGAUACGGGUUGACUUGAGGAAGGUAGGGGAGAAUGGAAUUCCUGGUGGAGCGGUGGAAUGCGCAGAUAUCAGGAGGAACACCAGUGGCGAAGGCGGUUCUCUGGGCCUUUCCUGACGCUGAGGAGCGAAAGCGUGGGGAGCGAACAGGCUUAGAUACCCUGGUAGUCCACGCUGUAAACGGUGGGUACUAGGUGUGGGGUCCAUUCCACGGGUUCCGUGCCGUAGCUAACGCUUUAAGUACCCCGCCUGGGGAGUACGGCCGCAAGGCUAAAACUCAAAGGAAUUGACGGGGCCCCGCACAAGCGGCGGAGCAUGCGGAUUAAUUCGAUGCAACGCGUAGAACCUUACCUGGGUUUGACAUGGAUCGGGAGCGCUCAGAGAUGGGUGUGCCUCUUUUGGGGUCGGUUCACAGGUGGUGCAUGGCUGUCGUCAGCUCGUGUCGUGAGAUGUUGGGUUAAGUCCCGCAGCGAGCGCAACCCUUGUUCACUGUUGCCAGCACGUUAUGGUGGGGACUCAGUGGAGACCGCCGGGGUCAACUCGGAGGAAGGUGGGGAUGACGUCAAGUCAUCAUGCCCCUUAUGUCCAGGGCUUCACGCAUGCUACAAUGGCUGGUACAGAGAGUGGCGAGCCUGUGAGGGUGAGCGAAUCUCGGAAAGCCGGUCUCAGUUCGGAUUGGGGUCUGCAACUCGACCUCAUGAAGACGGAGUCGCUAGUAAUCGCAGAUCAGCAACGCUGCGGUGAAUACGUUCCCGGG